UUUAAUUCGUUGCUACACGAAGAACCUUACCUGGGUUUGACAUAUAGGUUGUAGGGAAACUGAAAAGGGACCGACCCUUCGGGGAGCCUAUACAGGUGUUGCAUGGCUGUCGUCAGCUCGUGUCGUGAGAUGUUCGGUUAAGUCCGCUAACGAGCGCAACCCUCGUCGUAUGUUAUAUGUGUCAUACGAGACUGCCGGUAAAAGCCGGAGGAAGGUGAGGAUGAUGUCAAGUCAGCAUGACCUUUAUAUCCAGGGCUACACACACGCUACAAUGGUCUGUACAAUGGGUAGCCAAGCCGCGAGGCGGAGCCAAUCCUGAAAGCAGGCCUCAGUUCAGAUUGCAGUCUGCAACUCGACUGCAUGAAGCCGGAGUUGCUAGUAACCGCAGGUCAGCAAUACUGCGGUGAAUACGUUCCCGGGUCUU
RNAcentral lists this ribosomal RNA (424 nucleotides) under uncultured Anaerolineaceae bacterium. Its description in RNAcentral is "bacterial SSU rRNA". It matches the Rfam family "Bacterial small subunit ribosomal RNA", at positions 945 to 1382 of the family's 1533-position model. Lineage: Bacteria; Bacillati; Chloroflexota; Anaerolineae; Anaerolineales; Anaerolineaceae. The record is from RNAcentral.